CAGCACUUCACAGUGCAUGUGUAAAUCAAAGAAUUGCAAUGUAGCACUCGAAUGUGGAGUUUAUUUGCUGUGGGGGAGCAGUGUGUGCACACAGGUACUCUCCUUAUGGAGUCAGGAUGGACGAAUGGGAGAAGGAGAUGGGAAGAAAUCAGCAUUCAUUAGGAAACUUCCAGGUGCUGCAUGCGUUUUUCUCACGUGGCCUUUUAGGGAGUGACAAAUGAGACAAUGACUAGAUGCUGUUUGUCGCCAGCGAUCCACAAGAACCAACUGAGCACUUUCUACGUGAUGGGAACUGUGCUGUGAAAGCCAGUGCGGACACGCUAAGGAAGGUGCGUUCCCACAGGACACCUGCAGAUUAAGUCUGUGGGACACAGUGCUGUGUCACUAUGAGGGAAGCCCAGUGGGCUUUGGUGGCACAGAGGAGGGUGUGGACUAACAGGAAAUAUCCCAGAAAGGGAGCGGUCAAGUGAGGGGAGGAGGGGAGGGGAGGAGGGGAGGGUCCGCAUCCAGGUGGGGGCAGCAGACUGCUCCGCGGCCAAGCCCCAGGUGUUAAUUAUUAGUGCCACUAUUAGGCUCUCACUUGCUGUGGUUUGUAGGAUCCACGUUCCAGUCCUCUUUUUGUCACCUGCAGAUGUGUGGCUGGGGUUAAGUGACCCGAUCUUCCUCAGUCUUGUUCUCCACUUCAGAGGGACACUCAUACUCACCUUGGAGAAAUGACAGGGCAAGAGGUGAGUUGAGAGGUGCAGGGACCCAGCACUGACGUUCUCUGACACAGUUCUCUUUGUGGUCUCUUCAGAGAGUCUGGCAUGUGUCAUUUUUCUGGAUUCCAGGUCUUCUUGGACAACCGAUAGCUUCUAUCAACUAACAUUUGCACUGGGCUAUGAGAAGUGGGUGGGUAUUCCAGACAAUCCCUCAAGAACAGCUAAGCAGCAGGCCACACGGGGAAGUCCCCCGAGCCACUAGAGGAGGAGCACACUGUGCGUUCCAGGAGGAUCCUGUGAAGCAAACAUCAAUGUGCAGAGCCCUGCCCUGGAUUCCCAGGCUUUUAACUCAAAUCUGCACCAUACUUUCACCUCAGCUGACUUCUGGACUUUUGUUUAAAAUUCAUACUCUGUACUUGAAACAGAAAAAAGAUGUGAUUUUUUUUUUUGGCUUAAUACUUCUGAAGGUGGUUGGGGGUAGCUGGACUCCAUCUGACUCAAGUUUGAGUCUAGACUUCCCCUCCAACUCCCUUUAGGUUGCUGAGUAAAUUGUAGUAUGUUUGACACAAAAUCAGUAUCUGUCAUGCACUCUUAGGCAAAUGAUAAUUUUCUACUGAAAACUAUUUCCUUAGUGAAGGUAAAUCUUCAACCCCUGUUGACAGAUCCAAUUUUUGCAAAACGCCAGAAAAGUCUGUAACAUGUGGGGAAGCAUAAUUCAGCUUAGCAGAUAUUAUUGAGCAGUUACUACCUGUCAUUUGCUCCUUUGCUCUGAGAGUUGCCUGCUCCCUCCCUCCGCUUCCCUCAGUGUUUAACCCCAAGAGUCAUGUCCAGCCAACUGGAAGCCUAUCAGGAGACCCGAGAGUGGGAAGUACGGACAGCCACUGGUGGGGGCCGCUUAGGUCCCUGUGUCCCCUUUAGUUUGGGGUACUGAGUGUCUGCUGCUGCAGGUUCACACCUAUGGUCUUCUCUGUGGGACUGUGCUGGUGUCAUCUUGCCUGGAGGUGCCCCUUGGUGACACAGCCACCUGGGAACCUUUCCUAAUCACUGACUUGUCUGGGGUGUACAGACCCAUCUCUGUGACCUCAAGCCAGGACACACUGUAAUGCAAUUGCUACUCUGAGGCUCCCUGCAGGACCUGGUUGAUAUUAGAGGUUCCCUGAACCCCACCCUUGUUUGAAUCCCUGUCUUUGCCACUCCUGCUUCCCGGGACAUACUAAUUCCUCUUGUAACAGACUCGCACACAGCUCCCUGCUGUUGCUCUGCUUGGGGGACACCCAGCCUAGCAGCAGGGGAAGGCGAGGUACUUGUUCGCUUCUUGUUCUGCAUCAGGUGGAGUCUGAUGCAGUCGUAUGGCUCCUUUGCCAUUGGGGCUCUUGUCCUGGUAGCUCAAGCCGGGUCUAGCUCCCCUGGUUGUUCUAGUUACUCUGUUCUCCAUGGCUUCAGUUCCCUGAAAUAGGUCUAUCGCCCCUCCUCCGGGCAGCCUGUGUGUGCAGACAUUUGGCCAGACCCAUGAGCAGACCCUCCACAGAAUUUCUGGCUCCUCGGGUAGUGCCAGCCCCUAGCUUGGGAAGGGCAGCCCUGGGGGCGGCAGCUCUCUGUAGUCACUGAGCUCUGAGUUGCCUCACAUUCGGCCUCUGCUUUUCUGACACCUCUGCAAUGAAUUCCUUGUGUUCAAUGCCCCCUGCUGUGCUCUGCACUAUACAUUCUAUGGGCUCAGCUGGAUAUUGGCUGGAACACAGUGGAACCCCAGGCUUGAUCUGGGUGCAGAAGACACAAUGCGUUGCCCUCAGGCCGUUGGUAGGUGUUCAUCUGGCACUUACUGCUGGAGAAAACCCUGCUCUGAUAGGAGGUCCUAUGGCAAGAGCCCAGGGAAGCAGCAUACAGGCCAUCUUGGGUGGCGAGGUAGUGAGGUAAGGAGGGGAACAGUGCCCGGGGAAGUGGCUGGAGCCGAGUGGUGGAGGACAGAGCUGACUUAGGACGGCUCAUGUACAGAUUUUCCUGCUCCGAGCCAACUCUGCUCCUGAAUGGUAGUGGAAAGGUGCUGAUCCCCAUUAUCUCUCCCUCUGUACUCCCUGGUCUUGGCCAGUGAAUGGCCAAGGGAGCUUUCAGUCAUCCUGCACAGGGAGGUGGGGGACACUGACUCCUGGUACUCAACAGCAGCUGGAGACAUACGCAGUGACUUUAGACCAACUGAGCCGUCUUCCUUGCAUGCUGGGGCAUCCCAGCAGGCAUUGCUGCACUGGGAGGGAAAAGGGGCUGCUCCUGCUGAGUACUCUCUGGCCACUGCCUCUCUCCCUCUCCUGUCUCGGCUUUCUCACUGUUGAAGGAGCCUGUGGCUGCACUCUCCUGUGCUCAAGCAUCCUCUGUGGCUGGGCAGGGUCAGCAUCCCCUCGGAGCUUGUUAGAAAUGCAAAUUCCCAAAUGCUGGCUCAAACCUACUGAAUCAGAAAGUCAGGGCUGGUCCCCAGCUUUCCACAGCUGUGCCUCCAGGUGACUCUGAUGUGCAAGGAAGGUUUAGAAAAACUGGUCUGGAUGACCUCCAAUGCUUUCCUGUUCUAAGGGUCUCCCGUAGAGCCAUACUUGGCAAUGGAAAUAGAAAAGGUGGAGAGUCACUUCACAGCAAAGUGGGGUCUCACGGAAGGGCCUGGGUGGCAGGUCCCGGGGAGCUCCUGCUUUAUUUGGGCUUAAUGAUUGAUCCUGUCCUUUUUGAACCACCUAUGACACUCACCUUUCCUCCCUGUUCCUUCCUUCUUGCUUCAUGGACCUUUUCAAAGACUUGUCUUUUGGCUUGGUCACUGUGCACGUUUGGGUCUUUCAUCUUUUCUGGGGAUUUGCUUCUUCCCAGUCCACUCCCUGCGUUCCCUGUCAGGCUCUGAGCUUCCUGGAGCAUCAUCGCAGGGUCUUCCUCCACCUCUGCCCACCUUCUCCAUGAGAACUUUCCUGAUUGCAGAUCCAAUCAGCCUACGGGCGGCUAUGAUGCCUCCAGGGCUCCCUAACACCUGGAAGACAUUGGUCUGCUCAGCUGAAGCCGUAAAUCACCACGUCCUCUGUGAUCUGAUCCCAUUUCUGCUCUUGCCUCCUGUACUGCUUCCUGCUAAAGUCAUUGUACCCUGCCUUCACUGAUAGCUACUCUUUCAUGUUCUUUCUCCUCGUGUUCCUCUGUCCCUGUUUUGCCAUGAUUAGGAACAUGUUUCUCCAUCCUAUUUCCCCAGGCAAGAGACUGGCUAAUUAUUCAUUUUUUUCUGUUACACCUGGAAAUGAAGCUAGACCAUUUGGUGCAGGGAAUGUCCAUAGAAUAACAGAAUCUCUGAGUGGCCCUUUCUCUUCACCUUCACCCACCUGCUGACACAUGCAUACGUUCUGGAGGAAGAGUCUAAGACCAUGGGGCAUAGCAGAAACGAGAUAAAAGGCCUGAAUCUGUGAAUGACUGUGUGGAGCUGAGCCCUACCUCACACGCCUCUCCCUACCAUCUUCCUUGAACUGUGUUUGCAUUAAAAAUGCAUUUAACUUGCAAUUCACAUAGGAAACAAAUCAAAGCGGAAUUAAGAAGCUUGGUGUCUUGGUGAACUAGUCAUGCAGCAUAAAAACUACAAAACUUGGAGGCUUGUAAGCACAUUUAUUCCUGUGCGUUCAGGAUGAUCUUCAGUGGCAGAAUUGCUUCAGGCAGCAGUGUUGGCAGCAGGCUGCGUCUGGGUCUGCUCCACCUGUCUUCAUCAUGGGGUCCAGGUUGAGGAUGCAGUAGCCUUUCUGGGCACGAGUUUCUCAAGGCAAAUCACUGGUGCCCAGGAGCCAGCCUGCAUGCAAACACAAUUAAACAGCGCCUGUAUUGUGUGCUUUUGUUAAAUAUGCUCACCUUCUGUUGUCCAUGCAAGAGUCUAUGAAACAAGAACGUCCAAUCUGUUCCAAAGGGAGGGAGAGGAGAGGGGAUAUUUGCUGAAAAAUAAUUGAUAAAGAUAUGGAACUGCAUGUAAUUAUCAUUGUCCAACUCCUGGUCUUAGAGUCACCUUAAGAAUACCACUGGCUGCCCCCUCCCUGUAUCCUGAGGAAGCACUUCAGGGGAUUCACCUGCUACCCAGACUCUGCAUUUCUUUAGUUUCUCUGUAAUGCCCGACUUCCUCUAACCCCACUGUGACAUCAAUCAUGGAGGCCUUACUAAGCAUAGCAAGCAAGCUCUCAUACUCUGUAACAGACAAAGCCUACUGCGAUCUCUAUGUCACUGACUCCUAAAUCUUGCAGAAAUAAUUAAAACAUACACAUCACUCUCCCACACUAUAAAGCUUGUUUUUAAUACAAUGAAGGAAUUCAAGUUUAUAAAGGAAUUGUGCAUUGUAGGCUUUGUAUUUUAAUAGUAGCAAAUAACUCCUGUCACUUCUCCUAAUAGAACGUGCAUGUCAGAGUAUUUUCAUGCAUUGGCAGGUGUCCUUCAAAAAAAUCUCCUUCUAACUGAACCAAGUUUGUCUGUACAUACAGGGAAGGUUGAGAUUGAACCAGAGUUCUCUCGGGAGCUCAACUCUCUCAAGCUUUAUGUUUGUGGACUUCAAUCUCAAUACCCCCAAUCUCUGCAAGCUCCUGACCAUGCACAGAAGCCACUGAAGCCAAGGUGUCAAAGUGUCAUCCUAAUAUUCGCUUUUGCUCCCUCUAUAGUAAUGAAAAUCUUGGCAGGAUGCAUGGUUACCAGCUCAAGAUUAUGUCCCAGCUUCUCUUGGAGGUAGCUACCAGUGGGAGACAAGUUCUUCCCCAUCCACUGGCUUAGGGGGAUGGCACGGUGUGAGCUAGGGGAGCCAUCCAGGUCCCAGGGAUGAAAGCUGUGUUGAGAUGGCAGAGCGAGAAGAGAGAAAAGCCCAGUCCCUAGUCCAUGCGGCCACCAUCCCCACCCUCCCCUCUUAACGUUCACACUGCUUGUGAGAGAAAGACAAAUGUUUAAUUUAAACCAUUCUUCCAUUUAGUUUCUAUCACCACAGUCAGAACCUAUAUCUUAAAUAAUACCAACCCUUGUGCCUAUUAUUCACAGCCAGAUACCUUGUAUUCUCCUUGGGGAUGAGCACUGGCCCUUUGAUUCAAUGUUCUGUGGAAAAUAUUCUUUAAGUAUCAACCAGGUGCAAAGCAUCGAACACAGUGCCCAUGGGAGACACUGCCCCCUGAUGCUCCUGCCAUCAAGCCCCCUGAUGCUCCUGCCAAGCAGCACCCCACACACUUCCCCUCCUUACCUUGGUGUGCACUCUUCCUUGCCUGGUGCCCCACUCCCCCUAGCCUGAGGAACUGUUAGUCAUCCUUCAUGGCCCUGCACCAGGAAGAUGUCCUCGAGUCUCGGGUGGAGUCAGCUCUUCACCAUUAGAGUUUCUAUAGUACUUUUUAAAUACAGCUUUGUUGUAGAAUUUACAACAAUUGACAAGGGACAGGACUGUAUCCCCAUUUGACAUUCAACAAAUAUUGAUUGAGCUCUUGGCAGGUGCUGGGCCUUGCACUAAACAUUGGCAAUGGCACAGUUUCUGUGCUCAGGGUUUUGUGGUUGAGUGACACUUACAUAAGCACAUGCAGAGUAGACCUGUGACAGUCACAGGUGCUGAGAUGAGCAGGCCAUGUCUUAUGAGAACUCAUGCCAGAGGAUUAGAUUAGCCAGAGACUGAAGUGCAGGAAAGGUCCCCCCUAAAUGUGAUGCUCCAGCUGACUUUGAAGGCUCUCCUUCACCAGGAGGCCAUGCCAAGUACCUAGAAGAGCACUCGGCUUGUAGUGGAUGCUCAACAGAUAUUGGCUUAUUGAUGUUUUAGAUGAUAAUUGUGUUUAUCACAAUUUUAGCUCUUAGUGCAUUUCAUCUCACAAUAAUAAAAUGUUUUCUAUGAUUAUCAUUCUCAUUUUAUACAUGAGAAAUCUGAAACAAAGAGUGCCAAGGCCAUAUAUCCAGGAAGUGGUAGGGUUGGAAUCUGAACCCAAACCUUCUGGCUCCUGAGUGACAGCUCUCAGUGCACUAUGAGAUAAGAGCAUCUCUGUGCACUGGCUUUCAGCUGCUGCAGAAUGCUCACAUUAUUUCAGAAUCUACCUGUAAGAGGUAAGCACUCAUCACCCCCUACUUUUUUCUAAAUGGAUGAUGGAAUUGGGAGUGAGGCAUGGAAGUACUGCCACCCCAAAUCACACAGGGCAUAAGUGAGAGUCAGGAGCAGAAUCAACUGUGGUUCACAGACUGGACCUAGUUACUUUCCACAGCCCCAGAAUACCAGCUGGUGAUGGCGAUGGUGACACCCAGGGUCAGGAGAUGACAUGACGGCAGGGAGGUAAAGGUGUGUGUGUGUGUGUGUGUGUGUGGUGGAACUUCCUCCCUCUCCAUCUCCUCUGUGUCCUUUUGCAUGUGUCAAAUGUCAUUUGUGGUACUGAUUGGAAGCUGGAUCCAUUUUUCUAAGCAAAACUGAAGCUGCUCAGAGAAUGAAACUUACAGAAAUUCCCCAUACUGAGUAGAAUAUUUUUUAAAAAAAAUAUUAUAAGCUGCAUCUGCAGUUUUAUAUUCAGAGCCCCCCUCUCAAAAAAUAAAUAAAUGGAAAUAAUAUUGAGCCAUUGUUAAAUGCUCUGAAAGGUGUGUGAGAAAUGAUGAAGGGGGGCGGCACUGCUGGCCUUGGUGCUGACUCAGCUCUGAGCUGCAAGAUGAAGGUAACAAGACCUUAGCUGUCUCUGUGGAUUCCACACCAAUCAUGUUAAUUGGAAGCUGGAAAGAGGAAAUGGUCACAAUCAACAGAUUUAUCACCCAAAGGGCUGCGCAGUUCAUAAAUUUAAUCCAGCAAAGGAAUUGGGAAAUAGAAUUGAUGCUUAUAAGAAUCAGGGGUGGCUGGCAGGGGAAGUAGUUGUCUCUCCAAACAGACUUUUGCAGAUGGCUGGGAGUGCUUGAACAUAUUUUAUUUGAAGAUAUUAGAAAUACAAAAAGACAGCUUCUUCCCAGCUCCUGGCUGAAGUAAUGUAGUUUCUUCUUCUUCUUCUUCUUUUUUAAAAGUCUUUUCUUUAAAAAAAAUAGAGCGAUAAAGAAACACAAACAGGGCAGUUAAGUUUAAUGGUGGCAAAACCCAGACACCUGAAUAUGUGUAAUUUAUUUUNGUGUGUGGUGGAACUUCCUCCCUCUCCAUCUCCUCUGUGUCCUUUUGCAUGUGUCAAAUGUGUUGCAGUCAUUUGUGGUACUGAUUGGAAGCUGGAUCCAUUUUUCUAAGCAAAACUGAAGCUGCUCAGAGAAUGAAACUUACAGAAAUUCCCCAUACUGAGUAGAAUAUUUUUUAAAAAAAAUAUUAUAAGCUGCAUCUGCAGUUUUAUAUUCAGAGCCCCCCUCUCAAAAAAUAAAUAAAUGGAAAUAAUAUUGAGCCAUUGUUAAAUGCUCUGAAAGGUGUGUGAGAAAUGAUGAAGGGGGGCGGCACUGCUGGCCUUGGUGCUGACUCAGCUCUGAGCUGCAAGAUGAAGGUAACAAGACCUUAGCUGUCUCUGUGGAUUCCACACCAAUCAUGUUAAUUGGAAGCUGGAAAGAGGAAAUGGUCACAAUCAACAGAUUUAUCACCCAAAGGGCUGCGCAGUUCAUAAAUUUAAUCCAGCAAAGGAAUUGGGAAAUAGAAUUGAUGCUUAUAAGAAUCAGGGGUGGCUGGCAGGGGAAGUAGUUGUCUCUCCAAACAGACUUUUGCAGAUGGCUGGGAGUGCUUGAACAUAUUUUAUUUGAAGAUACUAGAAAUACAAAAAGACAGCUUCUUCCCAGCUCCUGGCUGAAGUAAUGUAGUUUCUUCUUCUUCUUCUUCUUUUUUAAAAGUCUUUUCUUUAAAAAAAUAGAGCGAUAAAGAAACACAAACAGGGCAGUUAAGUUUAAUGGUGGCAAAACCCAGACACCUGAAUAUGUGUAAUUUAUUUUUAUAGAAAUCUCACCCUAUGGAGGCCACUAUUAAUUAGCAAGGGCUUGUAUUGCAUGGCCAAUGCUGAAGAGGAUUGUUAUCUUGGCUACUUUUGGAAAAGGAAAAACAAAACAACCAGAAAAAUCUUUGAUGCUUCAUUACAAAAGGACAUGGAAGAAAGUCAUGAAAAACAGCUCAGGGGCUUCAUGUGCAUAAAGACCGAGGAAUCCCAACUCUCCCCAGUUCAGUUAUCCCUGAACCUCCUCCACCAUGGAGAAGAAAAACCCGACAGGUAAGGAAUGGGGAUGGCCAGAACAGGGCUGCAUGCUGUCCCCAUACCUGACACCCCUGCCCAUCUUAUAUUUAAGAUGAGGAAACUGAGGCUCAGAUAUGCCCAGAGCCCAGGUGAGAGAGCUCAUUGAUUGAAAGCCAUGGAACCAGUUCUGAGCCCAUGUUUGAGCAGUGAUUGGUUGUUUCCCAAUACACAGUCCUAAUGCCAGCAACCACCGUGUCCCAUUUGCUUCCAAGCUGCGAAACAGACCACUUAUCCCGUUACUGGGACAUCAAAGAGGCAGAACCUGAAAAUGGGAGAUUCCUGCAACUCGUCUGAGGCCUGCCUGUGGAGCAAGGCGAGCUCUGCACUCAUUGCUCAUCACCAAAGGACAGGUGGAGAUGCCUGAGCCAAGAAACCGGUAACAACUGCAUUUCUACAUAAGCGCUGCUCAAUAAACAUUUAGCAGGAAGUGUGGCCAGUGCCACUGAUGCCUACAGCUGAUCUGAUCAAACACGUUGUGCAUCCUUUUGGCAAAGAUUUCCUUUACUAAGUUGCUAGACUUUGUUCUCCAUAGAAGGGGAGAAGCAUGCUUGGCUUUUCAAGUAGCUAUAGCAUAAAAGACUGAGCUUUGUCACAGUGAAGAGAGGUUCAGGCCCGUGUUCAUUGCUAGCUUGCUGGGCACCAUCCAGUAGGGUGCUGUACCUCUUCACCCUUAGGUUCUUCAUAUACAAAAUAAGAAGAAUUACAACUUGUCAUUUUUCUGAGGUUCAAAUGAGAGAACACAUGCAAAAGUGUAUGGAACUCUGCCAAAUCAUAGUAAAUGCUCAAUAAAUGUCAGCUUGUCCACCAGGUGCCAUCUUGGUUUUUGGAAGACAGUAACAAAAAAGUUACUAAAG
RNAcentral lists this long non-coding RNA (9717 nucleotides) under Marmota monax (woodchuck). Lineage: Eukaryota; Metazoa; Chordata; Mammalia; Rodentia; Sciuridae. The record is from RNAcentral.